GCAUAUACCUCAGGAGGUUAGAGGACUCGGUAGGCAGUAAACGCCGGUUCAAGUCCGGUACUAUCCA
Molecule: transfer RNA, 67 nt
Filed under: Caudoviricetes sp.
Lineage: Duplodnaviria; Heunggongvirae; Uroviricota; Caudoviricetes
Description: tRNA-Leu
Source: RNAcentral